GUGAGUGGCAUGAUAGUAAAUAUGUGGUUAAUUUUUUCCAUUUAAUUAAAUGAAAAAGGGUAUAUCUGUAAUUUCCAUUUUAAAUUAUUUGCAUAAAUCUCGUUCUCUCUCACAAAUCAAUAUUCAAACUUUCUUCAACAUCCAAUUUUCUCUCUCACCUUCACCAUAAUUGAAGAAAAGAUAGGGGUUGUUCGCCGGAUCGUUUUAUCACCGGAAAACUCUGUUCCUCGUCUCCUAGUUUUUCUGAUCAACAGAAGAAGUUCGCUGUCUCGUUUCUCAUAUCUGAAUCGAACAAAAGGUGAAGUUCGCUGGAUCGCCGGAUCGCUGAUCAACUGGUGAAGUUCGCUGGAUCGCCGGAUCGCUGCAUCGCCGGAAUCGAAGAAAAAAAGCCGGAUCUCUCGAUUUCUCUCGGCUAGAAAAGGCAAAGAAAAAGGAAGCUGCGUUUAUAGUAACCAUUGCAAAACGGGAGCAAGAGAUUGCAGAUUUGAAGUUGCCGAGCAUAGGGAUCAAUCCGCAGAUUAUUACGUUGACGAAUGUAACGAUGGUGUCGGAUAAGUUUAUAUGUGUUCGUGAAACGUCGCCGCAAAAUAGUGUGGUGAUCAUUGACAUGAACAUGCCAAUGCAGCCACUACGUAGGCCGAUUACUGUUGACUCGGCUCUUAUGAAUCCGAUUUCGAAGAUUCUGGCUUUAAAAGCUUGUAGGAACAGAUCACUGCACUUUCAAUUCUACACAGAAGUCUUUUGGAAUUGAUGAUUUU
Long non-coding RNA from Helianthus annuus (common sunflower), 758 nucleotides. RefSeq lists it as uncharacterized. The record is from RefSeq and is a predicted model, not a curated record. NCBI's taxonomy places the organism in Eukaryota, Viridiplantae, Streptophyta, Magnoliopsida, Asterales, Asteraceae. The transcript is spliced from 4 exons.